Non-coding RNA from Paramuricea clavata, 778 nucleotides. NCBI's taxonomy places the organism in Eukaryota, Metazoa, Cnidaria, Anthozoa, Malacalcyonacea, Plexauridae. The record is from the annotation of a GenBank genome assembly.
GCGUGUUGAACGUAAACAACAUAUCUUGUCUACAACUUUGAGAAGGUACAGAUAACGCUUUCAAAAAUCCUCAGUUCUAGAGAUAUCUCUAUAAAAUCACAAGGAUAUUAAUAUCAAGUCUUUUAGCUAUGUCACUGGCCUGAAAAAUAACUCUUUUAACGCGAUCAAGAUAUUUAAAACAAAAGUAACGCGAAGCCAACGUAACGGCAAAGACAACGCUAAAACGAAAUAUUGUCGAAUGGUUGCAGGUAGAAGACUUACGACAGGAUCAAUCUUAAAUAACCUUAAACUAUAAGAAUAAAUGUUCACAUCAAAGACAAAGAUCAGUCACAAAGUAUAAAAUAUGCCCUGUAAACUUACCGCGAAGUGGAGAAAUGUGUACAUGAGCUGUCUAUUCGAUGAUUUCGACGUAUAUAGAAGCCCUAUAAUACGACGUAUAUAGAAGCCCUAUUUCCAAUAAUACUCGCUUAUCGCACAGUAUAACACCAACUCAUGUAAUAGUUCAAAUGCAAUGAUAAGUUAUCUCUUGAAUUACGUCUUGGAAACCGUGUUGGAAAUUUCAAUGCUGAUCGAUUACAUAUAGAUUACCGUUUUAUAUCUUUGUAUAAAACAUUUUGAUCGCAUGUAAGGAAUUAUUUCUCAUUCCAGAGACAUAGCACAAAGACUUGACAUUAACGUCCUUGUGAUUUUAUAGAGAUAGAUCCAGAACUAAGGAUUUUAGAAGGAAUUAUCUGUACCUUCCCAAAGUUGUAGACAAGAUAUGUUGUUUACGUCCAAC